UUGGAGGGCAAGUCUGGUGCCAGCAGCCGCGGUAAUUCCAGCUCCAAUAGCGUAUAUUAAAGUUGUUGCAGUUAAAAAGCUCGUAGUUGAACCUCGGGAUCGAUGGAUCGGUCAUGCCAUCGGUAUGUACUGGUCCCAUCGGUUCUCACCUUCUAAGGAACCAUGAUGUCAUUCAUUUGAUGUUUUGGAGAAUUAGGACUGUUACCUUGAAAAAAUUAGAGUGUUUAAAGCAAGCUAACGCUUGAAUACAUUAGCAUGGAAUAAUGAAAUAGGACGUUGAUCUUAUUUUGUUGGUUUCUAGGGUUGACGUAAUGAUUAAUAGGGAUAGUUGGGGGCAUUAGUAUUCAAUUGUCAGUGGUGAAAUUCUUGGAUUUAUUGAAGACUAACUACUGCGAAAGCAUUUGCCAAGGAUGUUUUCAUUAAUCAAGAACGAAAGUUAGGGGAUCGAAGACGAUCAGAUACCGUCGUAGUCUUAACCAUAAACUAUGCCGACUAGGGAUCGGAUGAUGUUAAUUUUUUAAUGACUCAUUCGGCGCCUUACGGGAAAC
This 548-nucleotide ribosomal RNA is filed under the name uncultured Glomus. Its description in RNAcentral is "SSU rRNA". It matches the Rfam family "Eukaryotic small subunit ribosomal RNA", at positions 548 to 1098 of the family's 1831-position model. Lineage: Eukaryota; Fungi; Glomeromycota; Glomeromycetes; Glomerales; Glomeraceae. The record is from RNAcentral.